CACAUCUCCUUUGCCGUUGUGCAACACGAUAUUUUCCUGUAAUCGUAAGCAUUAACAGCAUAAUAUAAUAAAUUAAUUGCAUUAGCAUUAUUUUGAACCUUUAGGAUGUCAUCCGCGUCAUACUCAUCCUCGGACUUGGGAACACAUUCGUUUUCCACCUUCUUUGUUGGAAUUUGGUUUCCCUUCAUUAUCACCUUCCAAAAGGUGAAAGCUGUUGGAUUGAACGAAGAUUUUCAUCCUCUCUUUCCAGUACGUGUAAUUUGUACCGUUGAAUAGAGGUGGUCGUGUGGAGCACUGUCCUUCAUCAAUUCCUGCAAAN
RNAcentral lists this long non-coding RNA (319 nucleotides) under Nicotiana benthamiana. RNAcentral describes it as "long non-coding RNA (NBEN_LNC027713)". Lineage: Eukaryota; Viridiplantae; Streptophyta; Magnoliopsida; Solanales; Solanaceae. The record is from RNAcentral.